AAAAAAGAAAAUUAGAAUUUUAUUUCUUACACAUUUCUUUCUUUAGAAAAAAGUAUAUGGAGCCUAAGUUUUCUUAAAUGGCAACCCAAAUUUUGAAAAUUGUUGAUACUGGUCACGAGCAAGCUGAAUGUGCAUGAGCCUUAACCUGCCUCAAGCUAAACAAAAGUAUGUGUACCUAGCAUAAACUCAAUCCAUUGGUUAUUCUGCUAGACAGCAAGCCAAGGUCGAUACUAUCAAGUGGAACAAUAAUUUAGGACCAAGUCAGCCACCCAAGCUUCAUCCCUA
This 285-nucleotide unclassified non-coding RNA is filed under the name Hevea brasiliensis (rubber tree). The record is from RNAcentral. Lineage: Eukaryota; Viridiplantae; Streptophyta; Magnoliopsida; Malpighiales; Euphorbiaceae.